UAGGGAAUCUUCCGCAAUGGACGCAAGUCUGACGGAGCAACGCCGCGUGAGUGAAGAAGGAUUUCGGUUCGUAAAACUCUGUUGUUAGAGAAGAACAGCGCAUAGAGUAACUGUUAUGCGUGUGACUGUAUCUAACCAGAAAGCCACGGCUAACUACGUGCCAGCAGCCGCGGUAAUACGUAGGUGGCAAGCGUUGUCCGGAUUUAUUGGGCGUAAAGCGAGCGCAGGCGGUCAAUUAAGUCUGAUGUGAAAGCCCCCGGCUCAACCGGGGAGGGUCAUUGGAAACUGGUUGACUUGAGUGCAGAAGAGGAGAGUGGAAUUCCAUGUGUAGCGGUGAAAUGCGUAGAUAUAUGGAGGAACACCAGUGGCGAAGGCGACUCUCUGGUCUGUAACUGACGCUGAGAAGCGAAAGCGUGGGGAGCGAACAGG
This 429-nucleotide ribosomal RNA is filed under the name Bacteroidota bacterium. Its description in RNAcentral is "Bacteroidetes bacterium partial 16S ribosomal RNA". It matches the Rfam family "Bacterial small subunit ribosomal RNA", at positions 355 to 776 of the family's 1533-position model. Lineage: Bacteria; Pseudomonadati; Bacteroidota. The record is from RNAcentral.